Pezoporus occidentalis (night parrot) is the source of this 2178-nucleotide long non-coding RNA. RefSeq lists it as uncharacterized. The record is from RefSeq and is a predicted model, not a curated record. NCBI's taxonomy places the organism in Eukaryota, Metazoa, Chordata, Aves, Psittaciformes, Psittacidae. The transcript has 3 exons.
UUCCUGAGAUUUGAGUUAAGCAUGGAGUAACAGCACUUGAGGAAUUGUAGCAAAAUCCACAUCUCCAAGAGGGGCUUUUAACUCCUUAGCCAACUGAACAGUCAGAAACAGCCCUGGCUGCUGCUGCUAGCAAUCACAUCCUGAAGCAAUGUGGUAUUCAAGUAGGAGACUUUAUAGUGGGGGUCACAUUCUUGGGGAAAUGCAAAAUGGCUCCCUCAUGUCUUCUGCACUCAGGAGCUGAUGAGUCAUCCUUGCUGCAGAGAGUUAUGCACCAAGCAGAGACAGGAUUUUUCAGUGCAUUUAGUAUGGACUUGAUAACUUUCUUAUUGUUGUCAUGCAGAACAGAAGCGUCAUCAUUUAAGUCUAUGGUGCCUAAACUGAAUGGCCUUUAGUGUUAGUCUUUAAAUCUUUUAAUGUAGUGAUUAAACAUGACAGGGAUUAAGUCCCUGUCCAAUAGCAGCCUACUUGGGUGCGUUGUUGGUUGGAUGCAAAGCACAAAGCCAAAUGCUCUUAAGCAGCCAAGCAUGUUGCUGUUUCAAAGCAUAGCAAGCCCCAUCAUGUCUGGUGAUUAGGAAACAUUUCUUUUUUAGUGAUGAUAGUGCUGAGCAAAAAGCUGAUAAAAAGAAAGUUUUCUAGAUCAACAAAAUAUAUUGCGGACAAGGGUUAGAACAAAAAUUGAGAGGUUUUAUCCUAGGUUUUAAAUAUAUGUAUGGCAUGAUUUAGAUAUACUUACAAGCAUCUAGUCUAAUGGAAAAAGAACUUGCAAAUUCAUAAUUUCCUCAAGUAUCCAGGCAUGAGACUAAAUUAUGCAUACAAGGUAAAUCAAAUAGAGUUUGACACAAAACCCAUUAACUAAUAAAAACAUUCUUCUAGUUGCCAAGUUGCCUAAAAAUCUCUGAGGAAAUGUCAGAAGGAAGGUACCUGUGUGAGCCAUGGAGCCUUUAAUUAUAUCAGCACACAGCAUAUUUAUUCUUGCAGAGUUCUUGAAAGAAUUGGUAUGUUUUUUUCUCCUCCUCAUUUUGUGGGUCUUAAGGUUAACAUACAAUUCAUGCAUGAUUUAAACCCUGUUCUGGAGGCAAUGUCCUUUGCUGGCUCACUGGCCUUUUCCUACGAUGCUAAUUACUAUAGCAACUGCGUGCUUCACAUGGCUUUAUUUUCAUAACAUCUGAAAGAGAUGAAUAGGUAACAUUACUGUGCUUUACAGAUUACAAUAGAAAAUUUGAGGUGAAGAAAUGAAGUAAAUUUGUUCAUUUAUUGAGGAAAAAUUCCAUUGCAAAAAAAUUAAAUUCUUCAUUGAUGGGUUUGCCUUUCAGCUGGAAACCCCUCUGGGAAGUGUGAUUGUGUGACUGGAACUGUGAUGUUUUUGCUUUUUCCUCCAGAAAAAUAAAAUAAAAAAGUUUUUCUUCCAUGUGCUUGACUUUAAGAAAACCACAUUUGGGGGUUUUGUACUGCUCCAAAUAUUUCAUUUGAAAUCUUUUAUUUUAAAAAAGAAGUAAACACAAUCAGCUGAGCAGAGUCCUUGGCGGGUUGUAUCUCCUAAUGCAUAUUCUCUGUGCAGGGGUUAGAUGAUGCUAUGUGCCAUGAGAGAUGAAAUCAACAUCUGGAACCUGGGUUUCUAAAAACCAAAGACGUCACAUGGAUUUAUCAUACUAUUGGUAUCUGCAGACAUGCUGACAGCCAGGACAAAAAUGUGUUUCCCUGCAGCACUGGUGCCAGGUUCCCAAAAGAGGAUUUAAGUCCCUAUGUGCUGAGUUUCCCAGGCAAAAUAAUCACGAGCAUUGAAAAUUUUUCCUCUCUCAUACCUUCUGUGGAGAGAAGCAGCAGGUGAAGACAGCAGGUGCCUUGGACACAGCUGCAAUGAUGAUCAUUUCAGUUUUUGCACUGAAAUCCUUGUACCCAUCUCUGAUUAUCUUGAGAAGUCUUAUGCAGACGCAGAACCAGACUACGAAAGGUCUGUGAGUAUCUCAGCUGCUUAAUAUUCCCCGCAGAGUGCUGGACAGCAAAAUAUCUCUGUAUGUAUUUAAAUGUUAACCAUUCUAAGCACUGCUUUACAGCUUAUAUUGCUUAUUGCAAAACUUCAUCAACUUUGUGAUAAUUGUCUGUGUACCAGAACAGAUCGGAUUGGUGGUGUUCUCAGUCAUAUUUGUUUCUGUCAGUAUGUGUUGAGGGACUGAAGGA